This is a long non-coding RNA of Amaranthus tricolor (Joseph's coat), 2889 nucleotides long. RefSeq lists it as uncharacterized. The transcript has 4 exons. Lineage: Eukaryota; Viridiplantae; Streptophyta; Magnoliopsida; Caryophyllales; Amaranthaceae. The record is from RefSeq and is a predicted model, not a curated record.
UCAUCUUGAAUUAAUUCAAUUCAACAUGCAAAUGGAAAAGAAACUUACUAGGAAGAGAUGCAGAUUAACAAUGCCAAUUACUUACGCGUUAAAGUUGAAGUAACGAAGUAAACUAAAGAGAUGAAUUCGCAAUUUGAAUAGAAAGCUUCCGUGGUUUACUUGGCUUAAACAAAGUUGAUGACCGAUACGUUGAACUAUAUAUAUCCCAUAAAAGAGGAUACUGCUGAAAUGCAAAUAGCAAAACUGGGAUUGCUGCUAGCAGAGCAAUAGGUGCCGGGAUCCAAAUCGUAUCGUUUUUGAAAGUUAUGAAAAAUGUAGCAGUGAAAGCAACCAUCAUUGUCGCAAUGGACACAAAUAAAGAUGACAAGCCUACCAUUAGCUUGAAAGGUAGUAACUUCAGAAAGUCACUUUCUGCAUAUCUUGAUGUUAGGAUUGACAGAAACAUUAAUAUGGACGUUGCAGAAGCGAAUAACGAAACUGCAUUGGAUAUUGCAAAUACCUUAAAUGCUGCAUCUUUUAAUAGAAUCGGAGAUCCGUCUUUGUCAUCGUUACCACCAGGUAAGGUAAAAGCAGCAGUAAAAACAACUGUUGCAAUGAGUGUUGCUACUAGUGUACAUGAUUCUGCUGUCUUCUUCAUCCAUUCCUCUCCUUCUAAUCUUAAGUUCUUGUGUUCUUCUGUAAAUAAAGCUUGGGGUGUCAUUUGUGGGCCCUCUGUCGGAUUAUUCUUGGCCACAGCAUAGUGGGGUUGGACGACAUCUUUGACAGCCUACAAAAAUCAGGAAAGGUUAUUUAUGGGUGGGUUAUCUGAUUAAUUGUAAUUGAUUUAUCUGAAUUUUUAUGGAGAAUUUGUUUUUGGCUAAUUUUCUUGAAUAGGCUAAGCUAGUUUCCCUUUUUUUUUCCUCAAUAGGUGGGAUUGAAAGAUAGAAAAUUGUUGAAGAACCAACCCGAUUAAAAGCUUUAAUCAAUGGUUGAAGAGUCAUGAUAUGUUAUAUGCUCUAUGACACCCCUUCACGUGAGAGUUCUUUGGGCUGGUUAUAUUGAUGCAAAAUAGACCGUCUUCAUAGCUGGUGCUAAAUAUUCCACUUUAAAUAAGCGAUGAAUAAGAUUAGAACUUGUGAACUUUCAUGACAUUGGUUUCAGAAAUUAAUACAAUCAAAAGCUUAAAUUGAUGUUUAAAGCCACAUGGUAUGUAUAUAUUCAUGAAAUCAAUCCAAUACCAAAUAAACAUUUGAUACUGAAAUAUUAAAAUUAUUUGCACUUAUUAGAGGUGUAUUAUAGGCCAUUAUAUCUUUAUUUGCCUUAUUUUAUUUUAUUACAAUGCAUUUUGGGAAUAUAAGCUAUUUUGAUAAUUUUUAGGAUGAUUUUGGUCCAAGUGAUAGGUAAAUUCGUACGUGUGAAAAAUUUGAAGAAGCAAGCAAAAAGAAAUAGUUAAAAAUAGCCACUGAAAGAAGAUAGUUAGAAAUUUCAAGCACACAACCUUCCAAAACAAAUAGCCGACACGGCUUGUAAUGUAUGUGCCAAAAAGCCGAGUCGUCUUAGUAGGUGACAAAAAAAGUGGCUUUAGGUGAAAAAAUAACAUUUUCGCUUGACACGCGCCGACAAGAAUACCAAAAAUCUCGUAUGCCCCAUAAUCUAUGAAUAAUGAGUAUAUAUUGAUAUUCAUAUACAAUUGUAGUGAUUCCCAAUACCCUAGUCUUUUAUCAUUAUUGUUUGCAACCUUUUAGAUUUCAGUUUUAUAUAUGAAUCUUCACCAUAUAUUCUCUCUAUGUAUUUAUUAGAAUUUAGUAAAUCAAAUUGACCCAAACUUCCAUGUGUUUGACCCGCAUAUUACACGUACACCGUACACUUGGUUAAAUAAAAUUUGCUAUCAAUACCAUAGAACUUUCGUUACAGCAUUAUGUAUAAACUUGUUACAAUGCUAGCAAUCAAUACCCGAUACCCAAGCAUGCCUUGAAAGGUGCACGAAAAAGUGAAACAGAAAGGUAGUCGGAGAAAUUACCUCAAACCAUAAUAGCUCCCUUUGCAUUUGUAAAGCUGCACCUGAGACACAGUUGAGUCUAUCCGGAGGAGCAAUCUUUGCAGCUAAAUGCAGCAUAUUGUUCUGAUGCGGAUCAGUGUAUGACGCGAUUAAAGCUUUUAUGGCUCCAAUUUCGUGUAUAAGCUUAAAAAUUCCCUCGUGUCGACAUUCAAUAGCAAUGUGAAAGAUACUUCUGUUCUUUUCAUCAACUUUCCAUAUGACAUCAGGAUACGAAAGAAUUGAUGUGAUUAGGAACUCAACAUUCCCCAUUUCAGCAGCAACAAACAGCAGUCGUGAUGGAUAUGCAAUCAAAUUUGAGAUCUCAGUUUCUUCUAAUUUGAUGACUUCAUUCCAAGCUCUCUGAGUCACUUGAAGUGCAAGUUCUAGUUGAUGUUCUCCUUCAUCUUUGCCCAUGUUCUGCAAAGGCUUUUGAGCAAGGGUGUGCAGCACACUUUCGUCAUUCCAAUUCGCACGGGUCGCCAACCGAGGGUGCUUAUCUAUGAAAUAAAGUGCAACAUCUACAUACAAAAUGAACUCCUGUCAAUAGAGUAACAAAUUACCAACAAGAUAGAAGAGAGAACUGGAACCUCUUAUAUACCAUACAAGUCAGAUUCUAUGGCACUGGUAAGAAGAUUAACACGAUCAUCAUCGUUCAACAGGCUGUCAUCCGUUACUUCCUUGAGAUAUUUCACCAUAUCUCUGUGGCCAAGAAGGAUUGCCAUAUGAAGAGGAAUGAGGCUGCAAUGCAGAAGGCUGUAUUUUGAAGUGUGGUUUGUGAUUCAAGAAGAUCAUCUGAUUUAACCAUAAGGUCUACCAGAUGUCUUACGAAUUCAAGGUGCAUAGCAGCUGUUGCAAUGUGCAGAGUUGUGUCU